GCCGUAGCGAAAGCGAGUUUUAACUGAGCGUUCAGUUACUUGACGUAGACCCGAAACCGGGCGACCUACCCAUGAGCAGGAUGAAGCGAAAGUAAAAUUUCGUGGAGGUCCGAACCCACGAGCGUUGAAAAGCUCGGGGAUGACUUGUGGGUAGCGGUGAAAUUCCAAUCGAGCCCGGAGAUAGCUGGUUCUCCCCGAAAUAGCUUUAGGGCUAGCCUCAAGGUGAGAGAUACGGAGGUAGAGCACUGAAUGUCCUAGGGGGUAUUGCACCUACCGAAGACUAUCAAACUCCGAAUGCCGUCAUCUUAUACUUGGGAGUCAGACUGUGGGUGAUAAGAUUCAUAGUCGAAAGGGCAACAGCCCAGAUCGUCAGCUAAGGUCCCUAAAUGUAAGUUAAGUGGUAAAGGAUGUGGGAUUGCACAGACAACCAGGAUGUUGGCUUAGAAGCAGCCACUCAUUCAAAGAGUGCGUAAUAGCUCACUGGUCGAGUGAUCCUGCGCCGAAGAUUUCCGGGGCUAAAACUUACUACCGAAGCUACGGCAUCAGUAAUGAUGGGUAGGGGAGCUUCCCAUACGGGUUGAAGCAUGACCGUAAGGACAUGUGGACAGUAUGGGAGUGAGAAUGUUGGCAUGAGUAGCGAGAUGUGGGUGAGAAUCCCACAGGCCGUAAACCCAAGGUUUCCAGGGGAAGGUUCGUCCGCCCUGGGUUAGUCGGGACCUAAGCUGAGGCCGAAAGGCGUAGGUGAUGGACAACAGGUUGAUAUUCCUGUACUACCGAUAACCGUUUGAGAGAAGGGAUGACACAGUAGGAUAAGCUAAGCACACUGUUGGUUAUGUGUGCCCAAGCAUUGAGGCAGUCAAAGCAGGCAAAUCCGCUUUGAUAAUGCUGGGAUGUGAUGGGGAGCGAAAUUUAGUAGCGAAGUAGCUGAUUUCACACUGUCAAGAAAAGUCUCUAUCGAGGUUAAAGGUACCCGUACCGCAAACCGACACAGGUGGGUGAGGAGAGUAUCCUAAGGCCAGCGAGAGAACUGUUGUUAAGGAACUCGGCAAAAUGACCCCGUAACUUAGGGAUAAGGGGUGCCACCAUCCGGUGGCCGCAGAGAAUAGGCCCAAGCGACUGUUUACCAAAAACAUAGGUUUCUGCUAAGUCGCAAGACGAUGUAUAGGAGCUGACGCCUGCCCGGUGCUGGAAGGUUAAGGGGAUCUGUUAGAGCAAUCGAAGCAGUGAACUUAAGCCCCAGUAAACGGCGGCCGUAACUAUAACGGUCCUAAGGUAGCGAAAUUCCUUGUCGGGUAAGUUCCGACCCGCACGAAAGGCGUAACGAUUUGGGCACUGUCUCAACAACAGACUCGGUGAAAUUGUAAUUCCGGUGAAGAUGCCGGAUACCUGCGACAGGACGGAAAGACCCCAUGGAGCUUUACUGUAGCUUGACAUUGGGUCUUGGUACUACAUGUACAGGAUAGGUGGGAGGCUUUGAAACCAGGACGCCAGUUUUGGCGGAGCCAUCCUUGGGAUACCACCCUUGUAGUACUGGGACUCUAACCAUAGGCCAUGAAUCUGGUCUUGGGACACUGUCAGGUGGGCAGUUUGACUGGGGCGGUCGCCUCCCAAAAGGUAACGGAGGCGCUCAAAGGUUCUCUCAGUACGGUCGGAAAUCGUACGUAGAGUGUAAAGGCAAAAGAGAGCUUGAUUGCAAGACAUACAGGUCGAGCAAGGAUGAAAAUCGGACUUAGUGAUCCGGUGGUUCUGCGUGGAAGGGCCAUCGCUCAACGGAUAAAAGCUACCCUGGGGAUAACAGGCUUAUCUCCCCCAAGAGUCCACAUCGACGGGGAGGUUUGGCACCUCGAUGUCGGCUCAUCACAUCCUGGGGCUGUAGUAGGUCCCAAGGGUUGGGCUGUUCGCCCAUUAAAGUGGUACGCGAGCUGGGUUCAGAACGUCGUGAGACAGUUCGGUCCCUAUCCGUCGCAGGCGUAGGAAAUUUGAGAAGACCUGUCCUUAGUACGAGAGGACCGGGAUGGACGUACCUCUGGUGUACCAGUUGUUCUGCCAAGGGCAUGGCUGGGUAGCUAUGUACGGAAUGGAUAAGCGCUGAAAGCAUCUAAGCGCGAAGCCAACUUCAAGAUAAGAUUUCCCACCGCAAGGGUAAGACCCCAGAAAGACUAUCUGGUUGA
This 2171-nucleotide ribosomal RNA is filed under the name Clostridioides difficile. Its description in RNAcentral is "bacterial LSU rRNA". It matches the Rfam family "Bacterial large subunit ribosomal RNA", at positions 665 to 2856 of the family's 2925-position model. Lineage: Bacteria; Bacillati; Bacillota; Clostridia; Peptostreptococcales; Peptostreptococcaceae. The record is from RNAcentral.